This 44-nucleotide non-coding RNA is filed under the name Trichobilharzia regenti. Lineage: Eukaryota; Metazoa; Platyhelminthes; Trematoda; Strigeidida; Schistosomatidae. The record is from RNAcentral.
AUCCAGUGACGAGUGCCAAAUAGGACGAAAUGCGCAUCCUGGAU